Molecule: long non-coding RNA, 673 nt
Organism: Photinus pyralis (common eastern firefly)
Lineage: Eukaryota; Metazoa; Arthropoda; Insecta; Coleoptera; Lampyridae
Exons: 5
Source: RefSeq, a predicted model, not a curated record
AGAAGAAUAUAUAUGGUCCCGUUACGUGUUUUACAGGUUCCAUUUGUUUAAUGCUUUGUUUUGUUGUAGUGUAGUUAUUUUAUGGAUUACACUUUUACAGGCGUUGUAUGAAGUAUUUUCGCGGUUUAUUUUGUACGUAACCUCAAAUUUGUUGGCGGUAAUUUUCAGGAUUACAUCUCCAAUUUGUAGAAAAACUCAAAAAGUGCGCAAUGAUCAACAACGUACUUAUAUCGAAGUACAACAGCCUAUGCUUGACAAAAAUUGUGACAAAACCGUUGUCCAUACACUAGAAACACCAAAUCAAAAAGAAAUUGGAGUUAAAGAUGUUUAUAACCUAUUGUUAAGGCUCACAAGAAAGCAAGAGUUAUUACAGCUGGUAGUAACGGACAUAAAGGAAAGUUUAAUUAAAAUGGAGACUGUAUUAUUGAGAAACCAUCAGGUUGACGUAGAAACAGGAGAUGCGGAAUCCAUUUCCCUUAAAUUUAACCUACCCAUUGAUGGUGUCGAGAAGCUAAAAGAAUUUGAAGCUUACUUCAUUGAAAAUGAGAAAGCAUUUUAAAAAGCAGUUCAUGAAGUAUCUCAAUUAGGAGGGAAGCAUUUGUAUGACUUUAUUUAUAGAGCUGGGAGAACAUUAAUUACAAAUAGCUUCGCAUCAAGUUCAGCUACUUGGGAA